AGACACCCUUCUGGGCCAAGACUUGCUUCAGUGGGGCUUUGGUGCUCACUGAGUCUUCCCCCUGAGUGUGUCCCU
This 75-nucleotide microRNA precursor is filed under the name Myotis lucifugus (little brown bat). RNAcentral's name for it is "mir-9229 microRNA precursor family". It matches the Rfam family "mir-9229 microRNA precursor family". Lineage: Eukaryota; Metazoa; Chordata; Mammalia; Chiroptera; Vespertilionidae. The record is from Rfam by way of RNAcentral.